Long non-coding RNA from Bos taurus (domestic cattle), 1304 nucleotides. Lineage: Eukaryota; Metazoa; Chordata; Mammalia; Artiodactyla; Bovidae. The record is from Ensembl.
UGUUAAGGUGGGGAUUUUGUUCCCACACAAGACUCCUUGCUUCUCCCUAGUUCCUGUCCUCGGUCAGUCCAGCCCUCGUCUCUACGUCUCAGAGCCCCUGUGGAGACGGCGUUAGCAAGAAUGAAGCAGCACCAGUGAGGCUCGCAGUUCUUUCUGAACACUGUCCCAUAAGUAGCAGGGGACCAGGAGAGCGCUCCCCACCGCACCCUCCCAGCAGCUCAGCUAAGCCCCUGAUUCCAAGAAGGCAGCAGGAGGUCUCUGAGGGGCUCUGGGAGGCCAGCCAUACAAGAAACCUUUGGCUUUUACAGGUGGUUCUCGUGUGCUUCUUUAAAAGGAAAGAAGCUGAGUUUUUUUAAUAUAUAUUAAGAAUAUAUUAAGAAAAAAUACAGGACUGACCCUCAGGCAUCUUCCCUGACUCCCCAGCAAAUCCUAGAAGAGAGUGUGUAAGGCUGAGGGAGCUGUGUAAGGCAGAUGGAGAUGUAGCCAAGAACUAGCAUCUUACUGGCUGGGACCAGCAGGGGGCGCUCAGCCUGCAGCAGGCAGGAGCCCCGCUUGCCUUUCUGCGCUGGUCAUUUCCCCCGUUUAGGUCUCAUGGCACACUGGCUCUUCUAGGAGAUAAACUCUCUGUCUCUUAAUUGGGGGCAGUGAAAAGAGCAGUGCGGGACCUCCUGCUGCCCUGCUAGCUGGUCAUGGAGGAUAGUGCCAGGCAGGAUUCUGGAAAUGCAGUGCACUUCAGCUGAUCCUGAGAGGAGCACUCUGGACACCAGGAGCGCGAGAUUCCCCAGAAACUAACUGUCUUACCUUUUGCCCAAAGACACAUGCUCGGUAUUCGGGGCAUUCCCUCCCAUGAACCCUGAUACUUCUGUUACCUCAGGGCCUUGGUACCUGCAUACUGCCACAGAACUGGGGCGGGGGGAGGGACCUAUUUUUAAAUAACUGUUCAAAGUUGGGGGACUUUUUUAAAAGUAAGAAAUAGGAAAGCUAUUCUGUAUUGCACCUUUUCACAAUUUAAUACAUUUUCUUACAUUUUCCUGUGAUUUUUGAAAUUAAACCAUUGUGUGUCUUGUCAUGUCCUAGUUGAGCUGCUGGCCAGCAGCUUCCUUCAGGAAGAUCUGGAACGAACGUGUCUGUUGCCUUGUUGCCUGCUGGAGGGGGGCCUGGAGGGCUGCUGGGAACUAGUUUCUGUACACACUUGUUUGGCCUUUUCUGUAGUUGAUGCUGUAAACUCUAUGGCUUUUUGAAAAACAGUUUCAUGUUUUUAUUUAGUAUUGGAAAUCCAAUACACUUUUUUUAAUUCAAUCAAA